Molecule: ribosomal RNA, 252 nt
Filed under: uncultured microorganism
Description: partial 16S ribosomal RNA
Rfam family: Bacterial small subunit ribosomal RNA
Source: RNAcentral
UACGUAGGUGGCAAGCGUUAUCCGGAAUUAUUGGGCGUAAAGCGCGCGCAGGUGGUUUAAUAAGUCUGAUGUAAAAGGCAGUGGCUCAACCAUUGUAUGCAUUGGAAACUGGUAGACUUGAGUGCAGGAGAGGAGAGUGGAAUUCCAUGUGUAGCGGUGAAAUGCGUAGAUAUAUGGAGGAACACCGGUGGCGAAAGCGGCUCUCUGGCCUGUAACUGACACUGAGGCUCGAAAGCGUGGGGAGCAAACAGG